Molecule: ribosomal RNA, 847 nt
Filed under: Ophiosphaerella agrostidis
Lineage: Eukaryota; Fungi; Ascomycota; Dothideomycetes; Pleosporales; Phaeosphaeriaceae
Description: partial 28S ribosomal RNA
Rfam family: Eukaryotic large subunit ribosomal RNA
Source: RNAcentral
CCAACAGGGAUUGCCCUAGUAACGGCGAGUGAAGCGGCAACAGCUCAAAUUUGAAAUCUGGCUCUUUCAGAGUCCGAGUUGUAAUUUGCAGAGGGCGCUUUGGCGUUGGCAGCGGUCCAAGUUCUUUGGAACAGGACGUCACAGAGGGUGAGAAUCCCGUACGUGGUCGCUAGACUUCGCCGUGUAAAGCCCCUUCGACGAGUCGAGUUGUUUGGGAAUGCAGCUCUAAAUGGGAGGUAAAUUUCUUCUAAAGCUAAAUACUGGCCAGAGACCGAUAGCGCACAAGUAGAGUGAUCGAAAGAUGAAAAGCACUUUGGAAAGAGAGUCAAAUAGCACGUGAAAUUGUUGAAAGGGAAGCGCUUGCAGCCAGACUUGCCUGUAGUUGCUUAUCCAGACUUUUGUCUGGUGCACUCUUCUAUAGGCAGGCCAGCAUCAGUUUGGGCGGUUGGAUAAAGGUCUCUAUCACGUACCUCUCUUCGGGGAGGCCUUAUAGGGGAGACGACAUACAACCAGCCUGGACUGAGGUCCGCGCAUCUGCUAGGAUGCUGGCGUAAUGGCUGUAAGCGGCCCGUCUUGAAACACGGACCAAGGAGUCUAACAUCUAUGCGAGUGUUUGGGUGUCAAGCCCAUACGCGUAAUGAAAGUGAACGGAGGUGGGAACCUUUUAGGUGCACCAUCGACCGAUCCUGAUGUCUUCGGAUGGAUUUGAGUAAGAGCAUGGCUGUUGGGACCCGAAAGAUGGUGAACUAUGCUUGAAUAGGGUGAAGCCAGAGGAAACUCUGGUGGAGGCUCGCAGCGGUUCUGACGUGCAAAUCGAUCGUCAAAUUUGGGCAUAGGGGCGAAAGAC